Molecule: unclassified non-coding RNA, 384 nt
Filed under: Hevea brasiliensis (rubber tree)
Lineage: Eukaryota; Viridiplantae; Streptophyta; Magnoliopsida; Malpighiales; Euphorbiaceae
Source: RNAcentral
GUGUGAAGGAUGUUAGAGAUCUCAGUCGAGAUGUGAUAAAGUCAGAUACUGCAAGUGUAAAAGUCCCAGAUCUUGACUUGGAGCUGACUAGUGGCACUCUUGGGGGAAUUGUUACAACUGUCGAAGGUUUAAUCACAAAGAUAAGUGAAAGUCUUGAGAGAGUACAUGGAUUUACUUUUGGAGACAGUCUUGAUGAAAAUAGAAGAAACAAAUGGUUGGACUUCAAAACAAGACUAACCAAGCUCUUGAGUUUGGAACAGCCUUGGACUCUCAUCCUUGAUGAUGCACUAGCUAAUUCGUUUAUUGCACCAGUGACUGAUGAUAUGAAAGAUGACCAUCAGUUAACAUGCGAGGAAUACGAGAGAUCCUGGGAACAGAAUGAGG